This 135-nucleotide ribosomal RNA is filed under the name Uncultured bacterium HZ_02B. RNAcentral's name for it is "partial 16S ribosomal RNA". It matches the Rfam family "Bacterial small subunit ribosomal RNA", at positions 355 to 507 of the family's 1533-position model. The record is from RNAcentral.
UGGGGNCNNUUGCACAAUGGGCGAAAGCCUGAUGCAGCGACGCCGCGUGAGCGAAGAAGGCCUUCGGGUCGUAAAGCUCUGUCCUAUGGGACGAUAGUGACGGUACCAUAGGAGGAAGCCCCGGCCAAGGACGCG